CGCGGGGUGGAGCAGUUUGGUAGCUCGUCGGGCUCAUAACCCGAAGGUCGGCGGUUCAAAUCCGUCCCCCGCAACCA
RNAcentral lists this transfer RNA (77 nucleotides) under Candidatus Photodesmus blepharonis. Its description in RNAcentral is "Candidatus Photodesmus blepharus tRNA-Met". It matches the Rfam family "tRNA". Rfam says of the family: Transfer RNA (tRNA) molecules are approximately 80 nucleotides in length. Their secondary structure includes four short double-helical elements and three loops (D, anti-codon, and T loops). Further hydrogen bonds mediate the characteristic L-shaped molecular structure. tRNAs have two regions of fundamental functional importance: the anti-codon, which is responsible for specific mRNA codon recognition, and the 3' end, to which the tRNAs corresponding amino acid is attached (by aminoacyl-tRNA synthetases). tRNAs cope with the degeneracy of the genetic code in two manners: having more than one tRNA (with a specific anti-codon) for a particular amino acid; and 'wobble' base-pairing, i.e. permitting non-standard base-pairing at the 3rd anti-codon position. The record is from RNAcentral. Lineage: Bacteria; Pseudomonadati; Pseudomonadota; Gammaproteobacteria; Vibrionales; Vibrionaceae.